AACGAACGCUGGCGGCAUGCCUAACACAUGCAAGUCGAACGAGACCUUCGGGUCUAGUGUCGCACGGGUGCGUAACGCGUGGGAACCUGCCCUUAGGUUCGGAAUAACUCCCCGAAAGGGGUGCUAAUACCGGAUAAUGUCUUCGGACCAAAGAUUUAUCGCCUUUGGAUGGGCCCGCGUUGGAUUAGCUAGUUGGUAGGGUAAAAGCCUACCAAGGCGACGAUCCAUAGCUGGUCUGAGAGAAUGAUCAGCCACACUGGGACUGAGACACGGCCCAGACUCCUACGGGAGGCAGCAGUGGGGAAUAUUGGACCACGGGCGAAAGCCUGAUCCAGCAAUGCCGCGUGAGUGAUGAAGGCCUUAGGGUUGUAAAGCUCCUUUACCCGGGAUGAUAAUGACAGUACCGGGAGAAUAAGCUCCGGCUAACUCCGUG
Molecule: ribosomal RNA, 433 nt
Filed under: uncultured bacterium
Lineage: Bacteria
Description: partial 16S ribosomal RNA
Rfam family: Bacterial small subunit ribosomal RNA
Source: RNAcentral